AUGACGCUCACUACAGCACUCAUAGUCACAGCUCUGUGCUGCACUGGUGUUUUGAGUAUGACCCUGACUGAGUCUGAGCCAGCGACCAUCAGUCCUGGAGGAUCUCACAAGCUGACCUGCACAGCUGCUGGAUUCACAUUCAGUAACUACUAUAUGGCCUGGGUCAGGCAGGCUCCUGGGAAAGGGCUGGAAUGGCUGGCAUACAUCUCCUCUGGCAGUAGUUACAUAUACUACUCCCAAAAUAUCCAGGGGAGGUUCACCAUCUCCAGAGACAACAGCAAGAGUCAGGUGUAUCUGCAGAUGAACAGUCUGAAGGCUGAAGACACGGCUGUGUAUUACUGUGCCCGACAGACACAGUGA
Molecule: non-coding RNA, 360 nt
Organism: Engraulis encrasicolus (European anchovy)
Lineage: Eukaryota; Metazoa; Chordata; Actinopteri; Clupeiformes; Engraulidae
Source: the annotation of a RefSeq genome assembly